GGAAUCAGGGUUCGAUUCCGGAGAGAGAGCCUGAGAAAUAGCUACCACAUCCAAGGAAGGCAGCAGGCGCGCAAAUUACCCACUCCCGAAACGGGGAGGUAGUGACGAUAAAUAACGAUGCGGGACUCAAUCGAGGCCCCGUAAUUGGAAUGAGUACACUUUAAAUCCUUUAACGAGGAUCAAUUGGAGGGCAAGUCUGGUGCCAGCAGCCGCGGUAAUUCCAGCUCCAAUAGCGUAUAUUAAAGUUGUUGCAGUUAAAAAGCUCGUAGUUGGAUCUCAGGAUUUGGAUGGAUGGUUCGCUUUCGGGCGCUACUAUCUGUCUGACCUACUCUAGUCGUGGAUGCCUUGGGUGCUCUUAAUUGAGUGCUUUUGGUGCCCGACGCAAUUACUUUGAAAAAAUUAGAGUGCUCAAAGCAGGCGUAUUGCCUGAAUAGUGUUGCAUGGAAUAAUGAAAUAGGAGUUUACUUCUAUUUUGUUGGUUUUCGGAGGUGAACUAAUGAUUAACAGGGACAGACGGGGGCAUUUGUAUGGAGGGGUUAGAGGUGAAAUUCUUGGAUCCUCUCCAGACAAACUACUGCGAAAGCAUUUGCCAGGAAUGUUUUCACUAAUCAAGAACGAAAGUCAGAGGUUCGAAGACGAUCAGAUACCGUCCUAGUUCUGACCAUAAAUGAUGCCAUCUAACAAUCCACGAAGUUUGCUUGUACGAACUCGUGGGCGGUCCCCGGGAAACCAAAGAUUUUGGGUUCCGGGGGAAGUAUGGUUGCAAAGCUGAAACUUAAAGGAAUUGACGGAAGGGCACCACCAGGAGUGGAGCCUGCGGCUUAAUUUGACCCAACACGGGAAACCUCACCCGGCCCGGACACUUUUAGGAUUGACAGAUUGAAGGCUCUUUCUUGAUCAAGUGGUUGGUGGUGCAUGGCCGUUCUUAGUUGGUGGAGCGAUUUGUCUGGUUAAUUCCGAUAACGAACGAGACUCUACUCUGCUAAAUAGAACGUUGAUAUAUAAAAGUCAGUGCUGACUUCUUAGAGAGACUAACGGCGUUUAGCCGUGUGAGAAAGAGCAAUAACAGGUCUGUGAUGCCCUUAGAUGUCCGGGGCCGCACGCGCGCUACACUGACUGCAGCAACUAGUAUGCUCCUGGUUUGAAAAAACUGGGUAACCUGGUUGAAUUGCAGGCGUGACAGGGAUCAGAGUUUGCAAUUAUCCUCUGUGAACGAGGAAUUCCCAGUAAGCGCAAGUCAUUAGCUUGUGCUGAUUACGUCCCUGCCCUUUGUACACACCGCCCGUCGCUACUACCGAUUGAAUGGUUUAGUGAGGUCUUCGGAUUGGUGCUGAUGGAGUGGUUCUCUGCUCUGUUAGUGCCGAGAAGAUGAUCAAACUUGAUCAUUUAGAGGAAGUAAAAGUCGUAACAAGGUU
This 1415-nucleotide ribosomal RNA is filed under the name metagenome. RNAcentral describes it as "SSU rRNA". It matches the Rfam family "Eukaryotic small subunit ribosomal RNA", at positions 366 to 1801 of the family's 1831-position model. The record is from RNAcentral.